UACAGAGGGUGCGAGCGUUGUCCGGAAUCACUGGGCGUAAAGGGCGCGUAGGUGGCGCCGCAAGUCCAUGGUGAAAGCUCGAUGCUCAACAUCGAGUCGGCCACGGAGACUGCGGGGCUCGAGCACUGUAGGGGCAGAUGGAAUUCCGGGUGUAGCGGUGGAAUGCGUAGAGAUCCGGAAGAACACCGGUGGCGAAGGCGGCGACCUGGUCCGUGACUGACGCUGAGGCGCGAAAGCGUGGGGAGCAAACAGG
This 253-nucleotide ribosomal RNA is filed under the name uncultured bacterium. RNAcentral describes it as "partial 16S ribosomal RNA". It matches the Rfam family "Bacterial small subunit ribosomal RNA", at positions 524 to 776 of the family's 1533-position model. The record is from RNAcentral.